AUUGAACGCUGGCGGCAGGCUUAACACAUGCAAGUCGAGCGGGGUGAUGGUGCUUGCACUAUCACUUAGCGGCGGACGGGUGAGUAAUGCUUAGGAAUCUGCCUAUUAGUGGGGGACUACAUCUCGAAAGGGAUGCUAAUACCGCAUACGUCCUACGGGAGAAAGCAGGGGAUCACUUGUGACCUUGCGCUAAUAGAUGAGCCUAAGUCGGAUUAGCUAGUUGGUGGGGUAAAGGCCUACCAAGGCGACGAUCGGUAGCGGGUCUGGGAGGAUGAUCAGCCACACUGGGACUGAGACACGGCCCAGACUCCUACGGGAGGCAGCAGUGGGGAAUAUUGGACAAUGGGGGGAACCCUGAUCCAGCCAUGCCGCGUGUGUGAAGAAGGCCUUAUGGUUGUAAAGCACUUUAAGCGAGGAGGAGGCUUACCUAGUUAAUACCUGGGAUAAGUGGACGUUACUCGCAGAAUAAGCACCGGCUAACUCUGUGCCAGCCGCCGCCGUAA
Molecule: ribosomal RNA, 503 nt
Filed under: uncultured bacterium
Lineage: Bacteria
Description: partial 16S ribosomal RNA
Rfam family: Bacterial small subunit ribosomal RNA
Source: RNAcentral